This 492-nucleotide ribosomal RNA is filed under the name uncultured bacterium. Its description in RNAcentral is "bacterial SSU rRNA". It matches the Rfam family "Bacterial small subunit ribosomal RNA", at positions 899 to 1397 of the family's 1533-position model. The record is from RNAcentral.
ACUCAAAGGAAUUGACGGGCACCCGCACAAGCGGUGGAGCAUGCUGUUUAAUUCGAAGAUACGCGAAGAACCUUACCUAGACUUGACAUCCCGGGCAAAGCUAUAGAAAUAUAGUGGAGGUUACCCCGGUGACAGGUGGUGCAUGGUUGUCGUCAGCUCGUGUCGUGAGAUGUUCGGUUAAGUCCGAUAACGAGCGCAACCCUUAUUAUUAGUUGCUAACAUUUAGUUGAGAACUCUAAUGAUACUGCCGUGGACAACACGGAGGAAGGUGGGGAUGACGUCAAAUCAUCAUGCCCCUUACGUCUAGGGCUACAGGCGUGCUACAAUGGCCGAUACAAAAAGACGCAAUACCGUGAGGUGGAGCAAAUCUCUAAAAUCGGUCCCAGUUCGGAUUGGAGUCUGCAACUCGACUCCAUGAAGUUGGAAUCGCUAGUAAUCCUGAAUCAGAAUGUCAGGGUGAAUACGUUCCCGGGUGUUGCACACACCGCCCGU